GUGCUUGCUUUGGCAGCACAUAUACUAAAAAUAUAAUGAUACGGAGAAGAUAAGCAUGGCCCCUGCACAAGGAUAAAGGGUCUAUGCAACCAGAGAUGUCCAGUAUUA
Small nuclear RNA from Vulpes vulpes (red fox), 108 nucleotides. The record is from Ensembl. NCBI's taxonomy places the organism in Eukaryota, Metazoa, Chordata, Mammalia, Carnivora, Canidae.